This is a long non-coding RNA of Suricata suricatta (meerkat), 1626 nucleotides long. RefSeq lists it as uncharacterized. The transcript is spliced from 6 exons. NCBI's taxonomy places the organism in Eukaryota, Metazoa, Chordata, Mammalia, Carnivora, Herpestidae. The record is from RefSeq and is a predicted model, not a curated record.
GCCAACUGGAGUGGUGGCAUCACAUGCAGGGCCCUGGUUGCUGGCUGCAUUCGGCCUUACUGGUCCAAAUUCACAAAUUUAGGUUGCUGAUCACACAAGUGCGAACCUUUUGGCUCUGUGUCUGGGCCUCUCUGCUUUCGGUUAGACAGGAAACCAGCGUCGGGCAAACCUCCAAGGUUUCAGAUGGGCCUUCUGUUCAGAUAAGCUUCCAAGGAUGUUUCUGCUUGGGAACAGUAACAGAUCAAGUUCUUUCCUGGGUUUUGUGCCUCUGUGACAUACCAACAGAUUUAGAACCGACGUUAUAAUCGGAGUGAAAAUGCCCACAUGUGACUUGAGUUAAACAGACCUCUGUGGAUCAGAGAUGCAAGGCUAACUAAUUUCAGGGUGUUAGCUAAAAUUCUCUGAGAGGCACCAAGCAUCUACCCCGUCAGAGAGUUUUAGGUUCACAGCAGAAUUGAGAGGAGAGUACGGAGAGUUCCCAUGUGCUGCCUGUCCUCUCACACGCACAGCCUCUCCCGUUGUCAGCAGCCCCCACCACUGUGGUUUGGAUUAAGAAUGAAGUUGUUAUAAGCAUUGUGUGCAGGUUUUUGUGUGAACAUAAGUUUUCAACUCAUUUGAGUAAAUGCCAAGGAGGGAAAUUGCUGGAUGAUAUAUAUGAAGCAUACUAUUCCAUUGUAUGGCGCUAUCUUGACCAGUCUCUUUACUGAGAGACACUGGGUUGUUUCUGGUCUUUUGCAAGGACAAUGUUGCCAUGAAUACACUUGGAUGCAGCUCAUUUGGUAGGAGUGCAGGCACUGAAGAGAAGACAUGGCCCCUGCCCUCAACAAUCCAAAAACCCAGUGGCAAGACAAUUCUGGACGAGUGUGAGGAUAACUUGAAGUUCAAGGCCCUGCACGAUCCCUGCCAUUGCUUCUUUGAAGGAGGUAGCAGCACCAAGUUUGAAAUUCUUAUGUAGGAGCAGAUGGAACAGGAUCCUACUUUCAUAUACUAUUGCUAUGUUAUUUCAACUAUUAGAAUUAUUAAAAAUUUUGCCUCAUCUGAAAACAUGGUGAGGUCUGUCUCCCUUUUCAAGCUGAAGAUAAGGGAUGAUGAUGCCAUAUUUGUCCCUGUAUUGUGUUCAUAUUUGUAUUGCCAGUUGGUUCCAUGUUAGGCUUUGGCAAAGAGAGCACUAGAAAGAAGCUGCAAGACUGGAGGAGGAAGAAGGGACUUGCUCCUUCCUAUCUGCUAUAUUUUGGCUUCUUGUCUGCUUCCUGUUCCUGUGAGCAGCACUCAAGCAACACUUCCUUGCCUUCCUGAAGUAGCAGCUGAAUUCUGUUUGUGAUUUCUCCAACCCUGGCAGAACCAGCCUCAUUAUGUCCCUCAAAGGGAUGCCAGCAUGAGCCAGCUGCGCCUGCACCCCCCACCACCAAGAGGUCUGGGUCCCAGUCACCAGGGAAUCCUCCAAUACUCCAAGUUUAAACAAUUCCAGUUUCUUUCCCUGUUUCUCCAGGGCUUGGAGGUGGCAAUGGCUUCCUGCAGUUGCUACCUCGAUGGUACUGUAGAGUUUUCUUUCAUUUCUAGUUAUCUAGUUAACAACCACAUCUGGUUAACAAUUCUUUUUAUUAAAUUUACUCUGUUCAAAUCACA